UGACCGGUACGGGCCAUGAGAGUGGUAGCCCGGAGAUGGACACUGAGAUAGGGGUCCAGGCCCUACGGGGCGCAGCAGGCGCGAAAACUCCACACUGUACGUAAGUACGAUGGGGUUACCUCGAGUGUAGUCUGUAAAAGAUUGCUUUUCCAUAGAGUAAUAUCCUGUGGGAAUAAGAGGGGGGCAAGACUGGUGUCAGCCGCCGCGGUAACACCAGCCCCUCGAGUGGUAGGGACUUUUAUUUGGCCUAAAGCGUUCGUAGCCGUCUGUAACCGUUGCCCGUUAAAUCCAGCGUCUCAAGCGUUGGACUGCGGGCGAUACCUUACAGAUUGAGGGUGGGAUAGGUAAGCGGUAUUUCUGGGGUAGGGGCGAAAUCCUUUGAUCCCAGGAGGACCACCAGUGGCGAAGGCUGCUUACUAGAACACGCCUGACGGUCAGGAACGAGAGCUGGGGUAGCGAACCGGAUUAGAUACCCGGGUAGUCCCAGCUGUAAACGAUGCGCGCUAGGUGUUGGGUCGGCCAUGCGCCGCCCCAGUGCCGCAGGGAAGCCGUUAAGCGCGCCGCCUGGGGAGUACGGCCGCAAGGCUGAAACUUAAAGGAAUUGGCGGGGGAGCAC
RNAcentral lists this ribosomal RNA (616 nucleotides) under uncultured archaeon. RNAcentral's name for it is "bacterial SSU rRNA". It matches the Rfam family "Archaeal small subunit ribosomal RNA", at positions 261 to 879 of the family's 1478-position model. The record is from RNAcentral.